UGGUGUAGAGACACUAAGAUAAAGGUAUGGAUGAUUAUUAGAGAGCAACUUGCACUGAGCGUGACCAAUACGAGAACCACAUGGAUGUCUACUCACUCAUUAGUGGUCUUCUUGAUGUCGCAGUGGUAUGAGUGGUUCUUUGAACUGCGGUGUCAUUGGCUAUUCACAGUGAGGCUAAUGGAUUUGACUGCAUGUUCCCUUAGCCCCUAGCCAUUCGGAUCCUUGUUAUGU
RNAcentral lists this long non-coding RNA (231 nucleotides) under Elaeis guineensis (African oil palm). Its description in RNAcentral is "long non-coding RNA (EGUI_LNC047532)". The record is from RNAcentral. Lineage: Eukaryota; Viridiplantae; Streptophyta; Magnoliopsida; Arecales; Arecaceae.